Molecule: ribosomal RNA, 460 nt
Filed under: uncultured bacterium
Lineage: Bacteria
Description: partial 16S ribosomal RNA
Rfam family: Bacterial small subunit ribosomal RNA
Source: RNAcentral
CCUACGGGGGGCAGCAGUGAGGAAUAUUGGUCAAUGGACGAGAGUCUGAACCAGCCAAGUAGCGUGAAGGAUGACUGCCCUAUGGGUUGUAAACUUCUUUUAUAUGGGAAUAAAACGUUCCACGUGUGGGAUUUUGUAUGUACCAUAUGAAUAAGGAUCGGCUAACUCCGUGCCAGCAGCCGCGGUAAUACGGAGGAUCCGAGCGUUAUCCGGAUUUAUUGGGUUUAAAGGGAGCGUAGGCGGAUUGUUAAGUCAGUUGUGAAAGUUUGCGGCUCAACCGUAAAAUUGCAGUUGAAACUGGCAGUCUUGAGUACAGUAGAGGUGGGCGGAAUUCGUGGUGUAGCGGUGAAAUGCUUAGAUAUCACGAAGAACUCCGAUUGCGAAGGCAGUUCACUGGACUGCAACUGACACUGAGGCUCGAAAGUGUGGGUAUCAAACAGGAUUAGAUACCCCAGUAGUC